UACGUAGGUGGCGAGCGUUAUCCGGAAUUAUUGGGCGUAAAGAGCGCGCAGGUGGUUGAUUAAGUCUGAUGUGAAAGCCCACGGCUUAACCGUGGAGGGUCAUUGGAAACUGGUCGACUUGAGUGCAGAAGAGAGAAGUGGAAUUCCAUGUGUAGCGGUGAAAUGCGUAGAGAUAUGGAGGAACACCAGUGGCGAAGGCGGCUUCCUGGUCUGUAACUGAUACUGAGGCGCGAAAGCGUGGGGAGCAAACAGGAUUAGA
This 259-nucleotide ribosomal RNA is filed under the name uncultured prokaryote. RNAcentral describes it as "partial 16S ribosomal RNA". It matches the Rfam family "Bacterial small subunit ribosomal RNA", at positions 524 to 782 of the family's 1533-position model. The record is from RNAcentral.